This 523-nucleotide ribosomal RNA is filed under the name uncultured bacterium. Its description in RNAcentral is "bacterial SSU rRNA". It matches the Rfam family "Bacterial small subunit ribosomal RNA", at positions 24 to 518 of the family's 1533-position model. The record is from RNAcentral.
UCAGGACGAACGCUGGCGGCGUGCCUAAUACAUGCAAGUCGAACGGUCUUUCUAUGGAAGCUUGCUUCCACUGAGAAGAUAGUGGCGAACGGGUGAGUAACACGUGGGUAACCUGCCCAUAAGAGGGGGGAUAACAUCCGGAAACGGGUGCUAAUACCGCAUAGUUUUCUUGAUCGCAUGAUCGGGAAAGGAAAGACGGCCUUUGUGCUGUCGCUUAUGGAUGGACCCGCGGCGUAUUAGUUAGUUGGUGAGGUAACGGCUCACCAAGACGAUGAUACGUAGCCGACCUGAGAGGGUGAUCGGCCACAUUGGGACUGAGACACGGCCCAAACUCCUACGGGAGGCAGCAGUAGGGAAUCUUCCGCAAUGGACGAAAGUCUGACGGAGCAACGCCGCGUGAGUGAAGAAAAGGUUUUCGGAUCGUAAAACUCUGUUGUCAGAGAAGAACAAGUUGGAGAGUAACUGCUCCAGCCUUGACGGUAUCUGACCAGAAAGCCACGGCUAACUACGUGCCAGCCGCUGC